CCUACGGGAGGCAGCAGUGAGGAAUAUUGGUCAAUGGGCGCGAGCCUGAACCAGCCAAGUCGCGUGAGGGAUGAAGGUUCUAUGGAUCGUAAACCUCUUUUAUAAGGGAAUAAAGUGUGGGACGUGUACGAUUUUGCAUGUACCUUAUGAAUAAGGAUCGGCUAACUCCGUGCCAGCAGCCGCGGUAAUACGGAGGAUCCGAGCGUGAUCCGGAUUUAUUGGGUUUAAAGGGUGCGUAGGCGGCCUUUUAAGUCAGCGGUGAAAGUUUGUGGCUCAACCGUAGAAUUGCCGUUGAUACUGGCGGCCUUGAGUUUGUUUGAGGCCGGCCGAAUGCGUGGUGUAGCUGU
RNAcentral lists this ribosomal RNA (347 nucleotides) under uncultured bacterium. Its description in RNAcentral is "partial 16S ribosomal RNA". It matches the Rfam family "Bacterial small subunit ribosomal RNA", at positions 338 to 682 of the family's 1533-position model. The record is from RNAcentral.